This 440-nucleotide ribosomal RNA is filed under the name uncultured bacterium. RNAcentral describes it as "partial 16S ribosomal RNA". It matches the Rfam family "Bacterial small subunit ribosomal RNA", at positions 338 to 795 of the family's 1533-position model. The record is from RNAcentral.
CCUACGGGUGGCAGCAGUAGGGAAUAUUGCUCAAUGGGGGAAACCCUGAAGCAGCAACGCCGCGUGGAGGAUGAAGGUUUUCGGAUUGUAAACUCCUUUUGUUAGAGAAGAUAAUGACGGUAUCUAACGAAUAAGCACUGGCUAACUCCGUGCCAGCAGCCGCGGUAAUACGGAGGGUGCAAGCGUUACUCGGAAUUACUGGGCGUAAAGAGCGCGUAGGCGGGAUAGCAAGUCAGAUGUGAAAGCCUAUGGCUUAACCAUAGAACUGCAGUUGAAACUGUUAGUCUAGAGUUUGGGAGAGGUAGGUGGAAUUCUUGGUGUAGGGGUAAAAUGCGUAGAGAUCAAGAGGAACACUCAUUGCGAAGGCGACCUGCUAGAACAUAACUGACGCUGAUGCGCGAAAGCGUGGGGAGCAAACAGGAUUAGAUACCCGUGUAGUC